AGGAGACAAGUAUAACAUUGACA
This 23-nucleotide small nuclear RNA is filed under the name Arabidopsis thaliana (thale cress). RNAcentral's name for it is "snRNA_04974". The record is from RNAcentral. Lineage: Eukaryota; Viridiplantae; Streptophyta; Magnoliopsida; Brassicales; Brassicaceae.